Molecule: long non-coding RNA, 388 nt
Organism: Uranotaenia lowii
Lineage: Eukaryota; Metazoa; Arthropoda; Insecta; Diptera; Culicidae
Exons: 2
Source: RefSeq, a predicted model, not a curated record
AUCAUUUGGUUUCCAUUAUUAAUAAUUAAACAUUUAUUGUAAUUCAUCAUUGAACAGAGCUAAGCAAAUAUUGACAGCUGCUAGCACAUGUUCAAGUCAGCCAUUUUUGUUCAAAAAUUUUUCUUAUUGCGGCGAAAAUCAAUUGGGCACUUUUUAAAAGAUGCAAUUUAUUGGAAAACAGCUAAUGAAGCAUCCUGGGAGUGCUCCUGAGGCACUUAUUUACAUUCAGAGGAAAGGCCGAUUGCGACAUGGAAUUAAACAGCAGGGACAUGAAACUCGAUAUAUUUCGUUAUUUCGAAGGUGGGUAACAGUGCAAGUGCCACAUGAGGUGCAAGUGUUAAAAUGUGAAGUAAAUAAAUACAAUGAAUAAAGAAAUUUAUCAAAAAUA